RNAcentral lists this ribosomal RNA (450 nucleotides) under uncultured eukaryote. RNAcentral describes it as "bacterial SSU rRNA". It matches the Rfam family "Eukaryotic small subunit ribosomal RNA", at positions 1214 to 1673 of the family's 1831-position model. The record is from RNAcentral.
CUCACCAGGUCAGGACACGGUAAGGAUUGACGGACUGAAGGCUCUUUCUCGAUUCCGUGGAAAGUGGUGCAUGGCCGUUUUUGGUUGGUGGAUCGAUCCGUCUGGUUAAUUCCGUUAACGAACGAGACCUCGGCACUCCGAAUAGCGCGGCGGACGUCGCGGCCUCCGGGCCGUCUUCCGCACGAGCUUCUUAGAGGGACCGUCCCCCGCCGGGGGAAGGAGGUGCGAGGCAACGACAGGUCUGUGAUGCCCUUAGAUGUUCUGGGCCGCACGCGCAUUACACUGACGCGUCCAACGGGUGACUCCCGACCCGAAGGGGCCGGGGAAUCCGCAAGGCGCGUCGUGAUGGGGAUUGAACGUUGCAAUUGUUGUUCACGAACGAGGAAUUCCUAGUAGGCGCGGGUCAUCAACCCCGCGCCGAUUACGUCCCUGCCCUUUGUACACACCGCG